This 482-nucleotide ribosomal RNA is filed under the name uncultured Rhodoferax sp. Its description in RNAcentral is "bacterial SSU rRNA". It matches the Rfam family "Bacterial small subunit ribosomal RNA", at positions 897 to 1382 of the family's 1533-position model. The record is from RNAcentral. Lineage: Bacteria; Pseudomonadati; Pseudomonadota; Betaproteobacteria; Burkholderiales; Comamonadaceae.
AAACUCAAAUGAAUUGACGGGACCGCACAAGCGUGGAUGAUGUGGUUUAAUUCGAUGCAACGCGAAAAACCUUACCCACCUUUGACAUGUACGGAACCCUUUAGAGAUAGAGGGGUGCUCGAAAGAGAGCCGUAACACAGGUGCUGCAUGGCUGUCGUCAGCUCGUGUCGUGAGAUGUUGGGUUAAGUCCCGCAACGAGCGCAACCCUUGUCAUUAGUUGCUACAUUCAGUUGGGCACUCUAAUGAGACUGCCGGUGACAAGCCGGAGGAAGGUGGGGAUGACGUCAAGUCCUCAUGGCCCUUAUAGGUGGGGCUACACACGUCAUACAAUGGCUGGUACAAAGGGUUGCCAACCCGCGAGGGGGAGCCAAUCCCAUAAAGCCAGUCGUAGUCCGGAUCGUAGUCUGCAACUCGACUACGUGAAGUCGGAAUCGCUAGUAAUCGUGGAUCAGAAUGUCACGGUGAAUACGUUCCCGGGUCUU